CCUACGGGAGGCAGCAGUAGGGAAUAUUGGACAAUGGGCGAAAGCCUGAUCCAGCAAUGCCGCGUGAGUGAUGAAGGCCUUAGGGUCGUAAAGCUCUUUUACCAGGGAUGAUAAUGACAGUACCUGGAGAAUAAGCUCCGGCUAACUCCGUGCCAGCAGCCGCGGUAAUACGGAGGGAGCUAGCGUUGUUCGGAAUUACUGGGCGUAAAGCGUACGUAGGCGGUUAUUCAAGUCAGAGGUGAAAGCCCGGGGCUCAACCCCGGAACUGCCUUUGAAACUAGGUAGCUAGAAUCUUGGAGAGGUCAGUGGAAUUCCGAGUGUAGAGGUGAAAUUCGUAGAUAUUCGGAAGAACACCAGUGGCGAAGGCGACUGACUGGACAAGUAUUGACGCUGAGGUACGAAAGCGUGGGGAGCAAACAGGAUUAGAUACCCUGGUAGUCCACGCCGUAAACGAUGAUAACUAGCUGUUCGGGCACUUGGUGCUUGAGUGGCGCAGCUAACGCAUUAAGUUAUCCGCCUGGGGAGUACGGUCGCAAGAUUAAAACUCAAAGGAAUUGAACGG
This 562-nucleotide ribosomal RNA is filed under the name uncultured bacterium. Its description in RNAcentral is "bacterial SSU rRNA". It matches the Rfam family "Bacterial small subunit ribosomal RNA", at positions 338 to 917 of the family's 1533-position model. The record is from RNAcentral.